UGGCAUUUACAAUUGGUGUGGAGCAACAGCAGAUUCAGCCUGGUGCUUCCUUCCCUUAAGAGGCAGUUAAAAUGUGAAUGCACAGAGAGGUGCCUGUUUCGGAGACCUCAUGAAAACCUGCAGGGGAGUGUUUCCGAGCAUCAAAUGGGAAUGAGCAGCUUCUCCAGAGGAAAGAGCCUGCUGUCGGCGGAGGGUUGGGAUUUUGCCUCUGAGGAUAGCAGAGCUUCCUCGUUUCUGAUCUGGCUU
This 246-nucleotide long non-coding RNA is filed under the name Anas platyrhynchos platyrhynchos (common mallard). RNAcentral describes it as "lncRNA (ENSAPLG00000020283.1)". The record is from RNAcentral. Lineage: Eukaryota; Metazoa; Chordata; Aves; Anseriformes; Anatidae.